ACGAACGCUGGCGGCGUGCCUAAUACAUGCAAGUCGAACGGUCUUUUCUAUGGAAGCUUGCUUCCGCUGAGAAGAUAGUGGCGAACGGGUGAGUAACACGUGGGUAACCUGCCCAUAAGAGGGGGAUAACAUCCGGAAACGGGUGCUAAUACCGCAUAGGUUUCUUGAUCGCAUGAUUGAGAAAGGAAGACGGCCUUUGUGCUGUCGCUUAUGGAUGGACCCGCGGCGUAUUAGUUAGUUGGUGGGGUAACGGCUCACCAAGGCCACGAUGCAUAGCCGGCCUGAGAGGGUGACCGGCCACACUGGGACUGAGACACGGCCCAGACUCCUACGGGGGCAGCAGUGGGGAUCGUGCACAAUGGGCGAAAGCCUGAUGCAGCGACGCCGCGUGA
This 392-nucleotide ribosomal RNA is filed under the name uncultured bacterium. RNAcentral's name for it is "bacterial SSU rRNA". It matches the Rfam family "Bacterial small subunit ribosomal RNA", at positions 29 to 404 of the family's 1533-position model. The record is from RNAcentral.